GAAAGUAAAAAAGGGCGCAUGGCGGAUGCCUUGGCUCUCGGAGGCGAUGAAGGACGUGAUAAGCUGCGAUAAGCUUUGGGGAGGUGCAAAUGACCUUUGAUCCAGAGAUUUCCGAAUGGGACAACCCAAUAUCUUGAAGAGGUAUUAUCCAACGUUGUUGGAGGCUAACGCAGGGAACUGAAACAUCUUAGUACCUGCAGGAAAAGAAAAUAAACAAUGAUUCCCCCAGUAGUGGCGAGCGAACGGGGAACAGCCCAAACCAUCCAUGUUACGGCAUGGGUGGGGUUGUAGGACUACGCCGUUGCAUGAAGACAUCAGAGAAGAACUUUCUGGAAAGAAAGACCAUAGAGCAUGACAGUUGCGUAUUCGAAUGUUGUCUAAGCAUAGUAGUAUCCUGAGUAGCGCGGAGCACGAGGAAUUCUGCGUGAAUCUGCCGGGACCAUCCGGUAAGGCUAAAUACUCCCGAGAGACCGAUAGCGAACCAGUACCGUGAGGGAAAGGUGAAAAGCACUUCGAACAGAAGAGUGAAAUAGUUCCUGAAACCGUGCGCCUACAAGCGGUCGGAGCUCGUUAAUGAGUGACGGCGUGCCUUUUGCAUAAUGAACCUACGAGUUGCCUUUGCCGGCAAGGUUAAGUGUGACGACACACGUAUCCGAAGCGAAAGCGAGUCUGAACAGGGCGUAUAGUCGGCAGUGGCAGACGCGAAACCAAGUGAUCUACCCUUGGCCAGGUUGAAGGCUGGGUAACACCAGCUGGAGGACCGCACCAAUAAGCGUUGAAAAGCUUCUGGAUGAGCUGAGGGUAGGGGUGAAAGGCUAAUCAAACUUGGAGAUAGCUCGUACUCCCCGAAAUGCAUUUAGGUGCAGCCUUGCGGGUUACUGAUGUGAGGUAGAGCGACUGAUAAGAUGCGAGGGCUUCACCGCCUAUCAAGUCUUGACAAACUCCGAAUGCGCAUCAGUUCUACCGCAGGAGUGAGGGCAUGGGUGCUAAGGUCCGUGCCCGAGAGGAGAAGAAUCCGGACCACCUGCUAAGGUCCCGAAAUGACAGCUAAGUUAAACUAACGAAGUCUGACUGCUAAGACAGCUAGGAUGUUGGCUUGGAAGCAGCCAUUCAUUUAAAGAGUGCGUAACAGCUCACUAGUCGAGGAGUCGGGCGUGGAUAAUAAUCGGGUAUUAAGUUGUCUACCGAAGCAGUGGGAUCAUUAAUAUGAUCGGUAGGGGAGCAUUCCAGUCAGCGUCGAAGGCGUACCGUGAGGUAUUCUGGAGCGUCUGGAAAAGCAAAUGUAGGUAUAAGUAACGAUAAAGGGGGCGGGAAACCCCCUCGCCGAAAGACUAAGGUUUCCUGAUCAACGCUAAUCGGAUCAGGGUCAGUCGGGUCCUAAGGCUCAGCCGAACGGCGAUGCCGAUGGCAGAAACGGUUAAUAUUCCGUUACUACCUUCAGGAGUGACGUGGAGACGCAGUAGUGACAGUGCCGCCAUCUGACGGAAUAGAUGGUUGAAGGGUGUAGGAGUCGAUCAUGGCAGGCAAAUCCACCAUGAGAUCCGAACCUGACAGUAUGCCGCGUCCUUCGGGACAAGGCAAUAGUGCGCGUAAGCAUGCUGCCGAGAAAAUCCGCUAAACUUAAUCCUGCAGGUACCCGUACCGCAAACGGACACACGUAGUCGGGAUGAAUAUUCUAAGGCGCUUGAGUGAUUCACGGUUAAGGAACUAGGCAAACUGACCCUGUAACUUCGGGAUAAAGGGUCCCUACCCUUUUAUGGGAGGGCGCAGAGAAUCGGUCCAGGCAACUGUUUAACAAAAACACAGGGCUGUGCCAAAUCGAAAGAUCCAGUAUACAGCCUGACACCUGCCCGGUGCUGGAAGGUUAAGAGGAGAUGUCAUCGAUAAGAGAAGCGUUGAAUUGAAGCCCCAGUAAACGGCGGCCGUAACUAUAACGGUCCUAAGGUAGCGAAAUUCCUUGUCGGGUAAGUUCCGACCUGCACGAAUGGUGUAAUGAUCUGGACGCUGUCUCAACCGUGAGCUCAGUGAAAUUGUAGUAUCGGUGAAGAUGCCGAUUACCCGCGAUGGGACGAAAAGACCCCGUGAACCUUUACUAUAGCUUAUCAUUGAAUCUGGGCACGUGAUGUGUAGGAUAGGUCGGAGGCUUUGAAGCAGGUACGCCAGUAUUUGUGGAGCCGCUGUUGAAAUACGACCCUUUAUUUGUUUGGAUUCUAACCCGUGGAACGGGGACAUUGAUUGGUGGGUAGUUUGACUGGGGUGGUCGCCUCCAAAAGCGUAACGGAGGCUUCUAAAGGUGCCCUCCGGCCGAUUGGUAACCGGCCUUAGAGUGUAAUGGCAUAAGGGCGCUUGACUGGGAGACUGACAAGUCGAUCAGGUAGGAAACUAGAGCAUAGUGAUCCGGUGUUUCCGUAUGGAAGGGACAUCGCUCAAAGGAUAAAAGGUACUCCGGGGAUAACAGGCUGAUCCCUCCCAAGAGCUCAUAUCGACGGAGUGGUUUGGCACCUCGAUGUCGGCUCGUCACAUCCUGGGGCUGGAGAAGGUCCCAAGGGUUGGGCUGUUCGCCCAUUAAAGUGGCACGCGAGCUGGGUUCAGAACGUCGUGAGACAGUUCGGUCUCUAUCUAUCGUGGGCGUAUGAAAUUUGCGUGGCUCUGACACUAGUACGAGAGGACCGUGUUGGACAGACCUCUGGUUUGCCGGUUGUGCCGCCAGGUGCAUUGCCGGGUAUCUAAGUCUGGAUCGGAUAAGUGCUGAAAGCAUCUAAGUACGAAGCCGGCCACAAGAUUAGAUUUCUCAGGGUCGUUGUAGACUACGACGUUGAUAGGAUGCAGGUGUAAAG
This 2837-nucleotide ribosomal RNA is filed under the name human gut metagenome. Its description in RNAcentral is "bacterial LSU rRNA". It matches the Rfam family "Bacterial large subunit ribosomal RNA". The record is from RNAcentral.